RNAcentral lists this ribosomal RNA (446 nucleotides) under uncultured bacterium. RNAcentral's name for it is "bacterial SSU rRNA". It matches the Rfam family "Bacterial small subunit ribosomal RNA", at positions 330 to 792 of the family's 1533-position model. The record is from RNAcentral.
UCCAGACUCCUACGGGAGGCAGCAGUGGGGGAUAUUGCACAAUGGGGGGAACCCUGAUGCAGCGACGCCGCGUGGGUGAAGGAGCGUUUCGGCGCGUAAAGCCCUCUCGGCAGGGAAGAAGGAGGACGGUACCUGACUAAGAAGCCCCGGCUAACUACGUGCCAGCAGCCGCGGUAAUACGUAGGGGGCAAGCGUUAUCCGGAUUUACUGGGUGUAAAGGGAGCGUAGACGGCAUGGCAAGCCAGAUGUGAAAUACCGGGGCUCAACCCCGGGACUGCAUUUGGAACUGUUAAGCUGGAGUGUCGGGGAGGCAGGCGGAAUUCCUAGUGUAGCGGUGAAAUGCGUAGAUAUUAGGAGGAACACCAGUGGCGAAGGCGGCCUGCUGGACGAUAACUGACGUUGAGGCUCGAAAGCGUGGGGAGCAAACAGGAUUAGAUACCCCAGUA